This 434-nucleotide unclassified non-coding RNA is filed under the name Hevea brasiliensis (rubber tree). Lineage: Eukaryota; Viridiplantae; Streptophyta; Magnoliopsida; Malpighiales; Euphorbiaceae. The record is from RNAcentral.
AACCUUUUUAGAGCAGCAGGAAGCUGGGUAUCGAAAACAUUGUAGAUUUUUUCACCACCAGCUCGCACGCCGUCAAGAUGCUCUUUGUAUAUUUGAUCAAAAAGACGACAUAUCUCCAUGAUUGUGUACAAUUUUCCUCCAGCAUCAGCAGCAAUGGGCUUUCCAAGACGGCUCAAUUCAGAUUCCAGUUCAGCUAUUGUUUUGUUGAUAAGGGACUGGAUGCCAGGGAUUCUAGACUUGAUCACAGUUUCCAAAUGCUUUGAUAGCACCUUUGCUAGAUGCUCAGACCCCAUUCUGUGAGCAAGGUGCUUGUAUUCUGGGGAGUUUGCAAAAUACUCACGUUCUCUUCGCCGAGCAGCAAUCAUGUCUACAUUCUUGUUUAUAUCAGCUUGUGAUCGGUUCACAACACCAACCCAAGGAAAUUUUAGCCGAUA